RNAcentral lists this ribosomal RNA (451 nucleotides) under uncultured bacterium. Its description in RNAcentral is "partial 16S ribosomal RNA". It matches the Rfam family "Bacterial small subunit ribosomal RNA", at positions 29 to 523 of the family's 1533-position model. The record is from RNAcentral.
AACGAACGCUGGCGGCAUGCCUAACACAUGCAAGUCGAACCAUGGCUUCGGCCAUAGUGGCGCACGGGUGAGUAACACGUGGGAAUCUACCUGACAGUGGGGGAUAACAGAGGGAAACUUCUGCUAAUAGCGCAUACGCACCUUCGGGGGGAAAGAUUUAUCGCUGACAGAUGAGGCCGCGUACGAUUAGGUAGUUGGUGGGGUAAAGGCCUACCAAGCCUUCGAUCGGUAGCUGGUCUGAGAGGAUGAUCAGCCACACUGGGACUGAGACACGGCCCAGACUCCUACGGGAGGCAGCAGUGGGGAAUAUUGGACAAUGGGCGCAAGCCUGAUCCAGCAAUGCCGCGUGAAUGAUGAAGGCCUUAGGGUUGUAAAGUUCUUUCGGGUGGGACGAUGAUGACGGUACCACCAGAAGAAGCCCCGGCUAACUUCGUGCCAGCCGCCGCAGUAA